ACGCCUAAACAUGCAAGUCGAACGAAGUAGCAAUACUUAGUGGCAGACGGGUGAGUAACAUGUGGGUAUCUACCCUUUGGCCUGGAAUAACACGAGGAAACUUGUGCUAAUACCGGAUAAGUCUUUACGGAGAAAGCUUUAUGCACCAUUGGAUGAGCCCGCACUUGAUUAGUUUGUUGGUAGGGUAAUGGCCUACCAAGACUAUGAUCAAUAGCUGAUUUGAGAGGAUGAUCAGCCACAUUGGGACUGAGACACGGCCCAAACUCCUACGGGAGGCAGCAGUGGGGAAUCUUGCACAAUGGAGGAAACUCUGAUGCAGCGAUGCCGCGUGAGUGAAGAAGGCCUUUGGGUUGUAAAGCUCUUUCGUCGGGGAAGAAAAUGACUGUACCCGAAUAAGAAGGUCCGGCUAACU
RNAcentral lists this ribosomal RNA (412 nucleotides) under uncultured bacterium. RNAcentral's name for it is "bacterial SSU rRNA". It matches the Rfam family "Bacterial small subunit ribosomal RNA", at positions 44 to 502 of the family's 1533-position model. The record is from RNAcentral.